RNAcentral lists this unclassified non-coding RNA (284 nucleotides) under uncultured fungus. RNAcentral's name for it is "partial contains small subunit ribosomal RNA, internal transcribed spacer 1, and 5.8S ribosomal RNA". The stretch from base 1 to 73 matches the Rfam family "Eukaryotic small subunit ribosomal RNA", at positions 1759 to 1831 of the family's 1831-position model. Lineage: Eukaryota; Fungi. The record is from RNAcentral.
UCAAACUUGGUCAUUUAGAGGAAGUAAAAGUCGUAACAAGGUUUCCGUAGGUGAACCUGCGGAAGGAUCAUUAUCGAGUUUGAAACCGGGGACUGUGCUGGCCCCUCGGGGCAUGUGCACGUCUCCUUCACUUCCACACACCUCGUGCACCUCUUGGGUCGGUCCUCCGGGGCCGCCCAACUUUUUAUCACACACGCCCUUUUGUGUAUUCGUAUGUCUUGCUUUAAAUAGUAACAACUUUCAACAACGGAUCUCUUGGCUCUCGCAUCGAUGAAGAACGCAGC